UAAUAAACAUAAGCCCUGUCCCCCUAUCCCUCUCUCUCUCUUUCCCCUUCUCCCAAAUGCAUAAAUUGCCACUUGCCCCUAACUUUCCGCUCUCGCCAUCAAAUAGCCUUGCUCUCUAGCUUUGGUCAGAAAGAUACCAGGUAUUGGAACAUCUUGCUAUCGAAGGAAGUACUUACCUUGGAGCACACCAAUUCAAGUCCUCCUCGUGCAGGAAUUGAAAGGUUUAGGGUGAUCAAUCUUUUACCAUGGUGAAUAACAAUCAAACCUCAAGCACGAAGAAAAGAUGAAAAUAGCC
Long non-coding RNA from Amborella trichopoda, 295 nucleotides. RefSeq lists it as uncharacterized. The record is from RefSeq and is a predicted model, not a curated record. Lineage: Eukaryota; Viridiplantae; Streptophyta; Magnoliopsida; Amborellales; Amborellaceae.